Molecule: ribosomal RNA, 460 nt
Filed under: uncultured bacterium
Lineage: Bacteria
Description: partial 16S ribosomal RNA
Rfam family: Bacterial small subunit ribosomal RNA
Source: RNAcentral
CCUACGGGAGGCAGCAGUGAGGAAUAUUGGUCAAUGGGCGGAAUCCUGAACCAGCCAUGUAGCGUGAAGGAUGACGGCUCUAUGGGUUGUAAACUUCUUUUAUAUCGGAGUAAAAUGCUCUACGAGUAGGGUUUUGAAUGUACGGUAAGAAUAAGGCUCGGCUAACUCCGUGCCAGCAGCCGCGGUAAUACGGAGGAUCCGAGCGUUAUCCGGAUUUAUUGGGUUUAAAGGGAGCGUAGGUUGUUUUAUAAGUUAGCGGUGAAAGACCGAUGCUCAACCGCAGGACUGCCGCUGAUACUGGAGGACUAGAGGACGGAUGCAGCAGGCGGAAUGUGUAGUGUAGCGGUGAAAUGCUUAGAUAUUACACAGAACACCGAUUGCGAAGGCAGCUUACUAGACCGGAUCUGACACUGAUGCUCGAAAGCGUGGGGAUCGAACAGGAUUAGAUACCCCUGUAGUC